Long non-coding RNA from Dreissena polymorpha, 3451 nucleotides. RefSeq lists it as uncharacterized. Lineage: Eukaryota; Metazoa; Mollusca; Bivalvia; Myida; Dreissenidae. The record is from RefSeq and is a predicted model, not a curated record. The transcript is spliced from 3 exons.
AGAUGGUAAAAGUAAAAUUUAGCCCAUGUUAGCAUGAGUUGCAUGAGUGACUGGAGUUUUAAGAAAACGUGGAAUUCUGGUACAUCUGUGUCCCUUUAGACACAUGCCAUGAAACAUAACGGAAAUGGCAGAAGGAAGAAUCGACAGUUGUGUUCGAACCAUGGAACAAGCAACAUGCCGUUACUAUCGCUAUGAAGACGAAUCGGUGGGAAUAAGAAAUGUUAUGUCAUUACUUGGAUACGGGUCGGAUGUUAGACUUGCACGAAUAUUGUCGUAUCGUACAUGGGCGGCGCGUCUAAGUGAUUGGUCCAAACGCCCUUUGUCUGGUCGUAUAUGCUUCAUUAAUACUGGGAGCAAGGCGGAAGGCCUCGAAAAUAUACUUGAAAGUGAUUGACUGUAUCAUGGUGGAUAUGGGUGUAGUAUGUGUAGAAGAUGACAGUGAAAGGAACUCUUUUUCAAGAGAAACAACAGUAUUUAAAAUGGAUCAGCAUUUAAGCUAUCCCGGUAAUUGCAGACUUGAAUUAUCUGGACCACAAGUAAUUGAUUCGUAUUUGGAAAGGGCCCUAUGUGAUGAUAGCUACGGAAAGACUGUACUGAGUAGCGAUUUAUUUAUGGCUCGGAUUGAAAUUCCCAUCUUUGCUGGCCGCGUUGGGCAAUCGUUGCCUGAUUCAAUAGGACCAUUUAACCAAGAUUUAGUAAAAGCAUUUUGCUGUAUAUGUCCCGAAAUUUUGAAUAAAUGGGCUUCAAGACCGCGUUAUUGGCCUCCACAGAAUAUCGUUCAGAAAGUCGUAUCUUUGGGGGCAUUUGUUACACCGGUCGGGUUCAAAGGCAGUGAGUUUAAGCACAUGGAGUGGAGGAUUUGUUUUAAUACAGGGGAGACAGAACUAAUAAACAACCUUAAUGAAACACAGGUAAAACUCUAUGUUCUUUUAAAAAUGGUAGGUAUAGAUGUUCUGAAACCAAGAAAGAAAGAAGUAACCUCGUUCACGCUUAAGAACAUAGUUUUAUGGAUGGCAGAACAACCCACAAGUAUUGUUUCACGAAAAAAGAUUGGUCCACUGGCUUCAUGAAGACCUUGAAUGACUAAGAACGGCUUUAUUUACGCGACACCUACCAUACUAUAUGAAACCGGAGCGAAAUUUGAUGGCAGCAUGCGGACUGGAGGACGAGACUCAAUGUGUAUGUAUAGCAACACUCACGGACAUGAUGGAUGAAGGUCCAAAAGUUAUACUGAGGCUGCAAGAGAUCAGACGAGGCGUUAUCAUACAUCCAGAACCACUAACGUGGUAUAGACAGAAACAAAUUGAGUUCGAGAUGCUGAAUCUUUUUACGUUUAACGCCGUUUUAAAUGGCUUGGACAAUUAUGUUUUAGACCAAGUUUAUAAUCGUAUUACGAAGAUUGUAAGAGAUGUUUGUGAAUAUCUUAGCAUCGACGGACGUGACGAACUUAUCUUUUUUCAAGUAUUCGUCGCAAUGAUGUUCUGAAGAUACACAUUGUGCCAUUCCUUUAUUGCGUCCCUACUUAAUCCCAAAACAUGUAAACCAACUGUUACAUGAUCUAAUCCUCUAAGCAAACAUAUAAUCAGAAGCGUUCAAUACUUACAAAGGAUAACGAGGAGGUCUUUUAAAAAAAAGAAGAAGAUGUAAACCUCAAUAGUAACACGAUCUAGUUAAAGGUUAAAGGUGCGGUUUAAAGUGUGCGUCGAUAACGUAUGCAUCUUCAGCCUACUUCGACAUUAACCCCCCGAUUACUGGGAUUUGAGUCGUCCGUUUACAUAUGGCGCACAAGGUAGCCACGGCACAUUGACUUAUUUCCCUCAUAUAUAGUUCAACAUAUACUGAACAUAUUUUAACAUUAAAAGUGCUGUGUUUUGGGGUUAACUGUUUAUUAAACACUUAACAUCGGCCAAGGAAGUACAAGUAACGUGGACGUAAACAACUUUGAUCAGUUUUCAGAUUGGUUGUACGCAUAACUGCACUACAGCAGGUCGACUUGUCAGUGUUUACCGAAAACACACAUCUUACCCUUCUAUCUUUUGGACUGUUAAACACACGCGUUAUAGUUGCGAAUUUUGUGACAUUCUAUGAACGUAAAUACAACAUAAUCAUUUCGGUUUCACAGCAUAUACGAUAACUCAAAAAUAAGCAAAUAAUAAACCAGAUAGAUUAAAUAUAUGUUUUGUUUUAUCCUUCUUCUUGACAAAAUAAUACAAACAUUCUUAUCCGUUUCUGGUCAGAGUUUUUAUGUAAUAUAUUCUUUGAUAAUCAAUGUCAGAAAAGUAAUUUGUCUUUGUCUGAAUUCGAUUGUGAAAAGGCAAUGAUCGAUACUAAAUUGAAUCCACCAGCGUAUCAUUAUACCAUUAUUUUUAUAACGAUUACUAAAUCAUUGACAGUAACAAUAUCUACAUACAAUUAGUCAAAAUCCAGUGAUUCAACGGAUGAAAUAAUUUGUAUACUGCCCCCUGGCGAAGCACGAGUGAUUUGAUAACACGCAUCUAUACUCCUUACUGUGGGUUAUUCGAAAACAAACCAUCAUAGAAAACUAUUAUUUCGAUUUUAACACGAUUCUGAUUGAUUUGAUUCAAGCUUUUAUGCGUGAACUAUAUUUUUCAAUACUCCGCCCUUCUUAGUACAAAGUUCACUAUUAAGUGACGUUAAAUUGUACAAACAUAUGACGUCUUUUUCAUUCAUAAAUAUUUUGCAAAUGACGUCAUUUGAAUUGACAACAACAAUCGUAGAAAUUUAAUGACGUCACGUGUAUUGAUGCUACUGAAAAGCUGACAUGCUAUAAAUGUUUUCUGAAUUACGUUUCCUAACAAAUAACAUUCUUUGUAGACGUGGUUAUGCCACUUAUCACCAAAUAUACAAUUUGUUGUUUCAUUAUUUUUAUAUACAUGCUACAUUUAUUACAUUUCUUUUAGAGCGGGUUUUAGCACGUGCAUUUUACUGCAAUAUUUUCUUUAUUUAUUCGGAACUAUUUUCGAAACAUUAAGCUCCGCCCAUAAGUUAUUGCAGAAUAACCCACACUUGAUUUCCUUCUUUGUCUAUAGAAAACAAGUCGCGUGCCGUGUUAGAAUUAAGAAAUAAUAUUUUUCUAUCAUGGUUUGUUGUCGAAUAACCCACAGUAAGGAGUAUAGAUGCGUAGGAAUUAAAUCACGAGUGCGAAGCAAGGCUCGCGCUUCCGGCAUUCUAAGCCUCGCAACAUAAACUUCUCUGUAUUCAACGCUAACCUAGUAUUCUCUAUUUAUUCGGAACUAUUUUCAAAACAUUAAGCUCCGCCCAUAAGUUAUUGCAGAAUAACCCACACUUGAUUUCCUUCUUUGUCUAUAGAAAACAAGUCGCGUGCCGUGUUAGAAUCGACAACAAACCAUGCUAGAAAAGUAUACAUGUUGCAUUCUCAUAAGAAUAACAUAUAAGUACAAAUGCAUACACAAAAUUGUUUUUUUUUUGA